UGAGAUAUUACAGGGCAAAAUCUUCAGUGGCAGGCAGUAUAUGGCUCCAUUCAUCAGGCAUCAGCUGUAUGGAAAAUUGCAGUGUGUUCUCCGCCAAUGGAGAUUUGUCCGGUAAUUCCGGUUC
This 124-nucleotide microRNA precursor is filed under the name Gossypium hirsutum (cotton). Its description in RNAcentral is "miR399a stem-loop (ghr-MIR399a)". Its record names the gene ghr-MIR399a. Lineage: Eukaryota; Viridiplantae; Streptophyta; Magnoliopsida; Malvales; Malvaceae. The record is from miRBase by way of RNAcentral.